GACGAACGCUGGCGGCGUGCUUAACACAUGCAAGUCGAACGGAAAGGCCCUGCUUUUGUGGGGUGCUCGAGUGGCGAACGGGUGAGUAACACGUGAGUAACCUGCCCUUGACUUUGGGAUAACUUCAGGAAACUGGGGCUAAUACCGGAUAGGAGCUCCUGCUGCAUGGUGGGGGUUGGAAAGUUUCGGCGGUUGGGGAUAGACUCGCGGCUUAUCAGCUUGUUGGUGGGGUAGUGGCUUACCAAGGCUUUGACGGGUAGCCGGCCUGAGAGGGUGACCGGCCACAUUGGGACUGAGAUACGGCCCAGACUCCUACGGGAGGCAGCAGUGGGGAAUAUUGCACAAUGGGCGGAAGCCUGAUGCAGCAACGCCGCGUGCGGGAUGACGGCCUUCGGGUUGUAAACCGCUUUCGGCUGUGACGAAGCGUGAGUGACGGUAAUGGGUAAAGAAGCACCGGCUAACUACGUG
Molecule: ribosomal RNA, 468 nt
Filed under: uncultured bacterium
Lineage: Bacteria
Description: partial 16S ribosomal RNA
Rfam family: Bacterial small subunit ribosomal RNA
Source: RNAcentral